CUUUGUGAUUCAUGACUGGGGUGAAGUCGUAACAAGGUAACCGUAGGGGAACCUGCGGUUGGAUCACCUCCUUACCAAGAAGAU
Molecule: ribosomal RNA, 84 nt
Filed under: Pectobacterium carotovorum
Lineage: Bacteria; Pseudomonadati; Pseudomonadota; Gammaproteobacteria; Enterobacterales; Pectobacteriaceae
Also listed under: 2 other names
Description: partial 16S ribosomal RNA
Rfam family: Bacterial small subunit ribosomal RNA (bases 1-74)
Source: RNAcentral